This 1326-nucleotide long non-coding RNA is filed under the name Panax ginseng (ginseng). RNAcentral's name for it is "long non-coding RNA (PGIN_LNC005430)". Lineage: Eukaryota; Viridiplantae; Streptophyta; Magnoliopsida; Apiales; Araliaceae. The record is from RNAcentral.
UCUUCUUCUCUAAGACAAGUUCUAGAUUUGAAGAAAAAUUAAAAUAAGCAUUCAUCACUAUAUAUAUAGCAGCUCACAAGUUCUAGAUCUGAAGAAAAAAACUGGGUUGCCACUGGAAUUUUGUUUGGCUCACAAGUUCUACAUCACGCCAGCAAAAUGAUUCCAGUCAAUAGCUAUGCAGCUAUUCCCUUCGCUUCAGCAUAAUGAUUCCACUCACUUCGAAAACCCUAACUCCCUAAUUUUCAAGAGGUGGCACGGUGGUCAUUCUCAUCAUCACCACCACGACCAUCGCUCCGGUAAGGAAGGAGAAAAUGUUUUUCGGCUAGGACUCGCUGCCGACAUAGGUUUGGCUGCCGGUAAAGCAAUGGCCGGUUAUUUGUCCGGGACUCACUGAUCAAUUGUUGUUUGUUUAAUUUAAUUAUUUUGUUGCGGGUCCUUCAUUUUUUGGUUUGUUUGUAGAAUUGAGAAAGAAAAAUACAUAAAAUUACUGUUCAAUGAAAUCAACCCCUCUUAGCUGUCGUUUCCGAUGAAAUCAAUCUCGCCAUCCAACAUGAAAUUGCUGUUCAUCUUCUUCCUGUUCUCUAAUCUGGAUGAAAUUGCUCGAUCUGAAAUUCCAGGGUUUCAAUGAGGAAGAAGAUGAACAGUUUGAGUUUGAAUUAUUUUAGGCUUGAUGAAUCUGGAUGAACAGGAAGAAGAUGAACAUGAAGAAGAUGAAUCUGGAUGAACAGUUUGAGUUUGUAUUAUUUGGAAUUAAUUUUUAAAAUAAAAAUAAUUAUUAAAAGAAAGGAAAAGAAAAAAUUAUAAAAAAAUAAAUUAAAAUAUUUAUUUUAAUUUUAUUAUUAUUUUAAUUAUUUUUUUUAUCACAUAAUAAUUUUAUUAUUUUAAUUAAUUUUUAAAAUAAAAAUAAUUAUUAAAAGAAAGGAAAAGAAAAAAUUAUAAAAAAAUAAAUUAAAAUAUUUAUUUUAAUUUUAUUAUUAUUUUAAUUAUUUUUUUUAUCACAUAAUAAUUUUAUUAUUUUAAUUAAUUUUUAAAAUAAAAAUAAUUAUUAAAAGAAAGGAAAAGAAAAAAUUAUAAAAAAAUAAAUUAAAAUAUUUAUUUUAAUUUUAUUAUUAUUUUAAUUAUUUUUUUUAUCACAUAAUAAUUUUAUUAUUUUAAUUAAUUUUUAAAAUAAAAAUAAUUAUUAAAAGAAAGGAAAAGAAAAAAUUAUAAAAAAAUAAAUUAAAAUAUUUAUUUUAAUUUUAUUAUUAUUUUAAUUAUUUUUUUUAUCACAUAAUAAUUUUAUUAUUUUAAUUAAUUUUUAAAAUAAAAAUAAUUAUUAAAAGAAAG